CAGUAGCCGCGGGAAUACGAGGGGGGCAAGCGUUGUCCGGAAUUAUUGGGCGUAAAGGGCUCGCAGGCGGUUUCUUAAGUCUGAUGUGAAAGCCCCCGGCUCAACCGGGGAGGGUCAUUGGAAACUGGGAAACUUGAGUGCAGAAGAGGAGAGUGGAAUUCCACGUGUAGCGGUGAAAUGCGUAGAGAUGUGGAGGAACACCAGUGGCGAAGGCGACUCUCUGGUCUGUAACUGACGCUGAGGCGCGAAAGCGUGGGGAGCAAACAGGAUUAGAUACCCGCGUAGUCCCUGUCUCUUAUAC
This 301-nucleotide ribosomal RNA is filed under the name uncultured bacterium. Its description in RNAcentral is "partial 16S ribosomal RNA". It matches the Rfam family "Bacterial small subunit ribosomal RNA", at positions 509 to 807 of the family's 1533-position model. The record is from RNAcentral.